RNAcentral lists this unclassified non-coding RNA (402 nucleotides) under soil metagenome. RNAcentral describes it as "partial contains 5.8S ribosomal RNA, internal transcribed spacer 2, and large subunit ribosomal RNA". The stretch from base 1 to 121 matches the Rfam family "5.8S ribosomal RNA", at positions 35 to 154 of the family's 154-position model. The record is from RNAcentral.
GAUGAAGAACGCAGCAAAAUGCGAUAAGUAAUGUGAAUUGCAGAAUUCAGUGAAUCAUCGAAUCUUUGAACGCACCUUGCGCCCUUUGGCUAUUCUGAAGGGCAUGCCUGUUUGAGUAUCGUGAACACCUCAACUCUCAUGGUCUGCCAUGAUGAGCUUGGACUUUGGGGGUCUUGCUGGCCUACUGUCAGCUCCUCUCAAAUGAAUCAGCUUACCAGUGUUUGGUGGCACCACAGGUGUGAUAACUAUCUACGCUUGUGGUUUUCUGCCAGGUAACCUCCAGUGAUGGAGGUUCGCUGGAGCUCACAAAUGUCUCUCCUCAGCGAGGACAGCUUUUUGAACGUUUGAUCUCAAAUCAGGUAGGACUACCCGCUGAACUUAAGCAUAUCAAUAAGCGGAGGA